GAAUUGGGACAGGGGAGCCAUUUGGCUGAGAGGAUAUGGUAAUAUAUCGACCCUUCACCUGAUCUGGAUUAUGCCAGCGUAGGGAGUUCUAUCAAGAGUCGU
This 102-nucleotide non-coding RNA is filed under the name Bacillus manliponensis. RNAcentral describes it as "TPP sequence". It matches the Rfam family "TPP riboswitch aptamer (THI element)". From Rfam's summary of the family: Vitamin B(1) in its active form thiamin pyrophosphate (TPP) is an essential coenzyme that is synthesised by coupling of pyrimidine and thiazole moieties in bacteria. The previously detected thiamin-regulatory element, thi box was extended, resulting in a new, highly conserved RNA secondary structure, the THI element, which is widely distributed in eubacteria and also occurs in some archaea. The record is from Rfam by way of RNAcentral. Lineage: Bacteria; Bacillati; Bacillota; Bacilli; Caryophanales; Bacillaceae.